UAGGAUCCAGCCAUGGAUCAGCUUAGGACAGCUGAGAUUAUCUGUGGGUUUGAGGUGGAGCUGUGGUCCUCAGUGGAUUAUGAUGAGGUGAGUAGUGUUGCCAAGGAGGGAUGAGUGAGAUUCUGUUCUUUUCUCCUCAGCCACUGUUCCCAUGUACAAUGAAUAAGAACAGUAGACUACAUACUAAUUCUAACAUAGGGAACAUAUUUUUCUCCGAAAUUGGCAUUGGCAUCUCAGGAAACAGCUUCCUUCUUCUCUUCCAAAUCCUCAAGUUCAUUCGUGGGCACAGGCCCAGACUCACUGACCUGCCCAUUGGUCUCUUGUCCCUUAUCCACCUACUGAUGCUACUGGUCAUGGCAUUCAUAGCCAUAGACAUUUUUAUUUCUUGGAGGGAAUGGGAUGACAUCAUACGUAAAUUCCUUCUGUACCUGUACAGUUUUGAGGGGUUUCUCCCUUUGCACCACCAGCAUGUUGAGUGUCCUCCAGGCUAUCAUACUUAGUCCCAGAAGCUCCUGUUUAGCAAAGUUCAAGCAUAAAUCUCCUCAUCACAUCUCAUGUACCAUUAUUUUCCUGAGUGUCCUCUAUAUGUUAAUUGGCAGUCACCUCUUGUCCAUCAUUGCUACCCCGAAUUUGACCACAAAUGACUUCAUUUAUAUUACUCAAUCCUGCUCCAUUCUAUCCUUGAGUUACCUCAUGCAAAGCAUAUAUUCUACGCUGGUAGCCAUCAGAGAAGUUUUUCUUAUUAGUCUCAUGGUCCUCUCUAAUUGGUACAUGGUGGCCCUCUUGUGCAUGUACAGGAAACGGACCCAGCAUCUUCAACGAUCCAUACUUUCCCAAAAAAAAUCCCCAGAGCAAAGUGCCACCCAGACCAUCCUGAUGCUCAUGAGCUUCUUUGUGCUGAUGACCAUCUAUGACAUCAUGGUCUGCUGCUCAAGAGCUAUGUUCCUGAAUGAUCCAACAACUUACUCUAUCAAACUCUUUAUAAUGCACAUUUAUGCCACUGUCAGCCCUUUUGUGUUUAUGAGCACUGAAAAACAUAUAGUUAACUUUUUGAGAUCCAUGGGUAAGAGGGUGAUAAAUUUUAAUCUUCACUGAUGAGAAGAUAAUUAAGAAGAGCCAAUGUGCUGCCAUCAGAACUGUCAGUCAUGGCAUGCUGUCUAUGUGCUUUGCCAAAUGUUAAAUAUGAAGUUGUUUUUCUGUUAAAAUGAUAUAUUUUAACCAACAUGAGAAUAAACAUGUAACAGAAGAUUUAACAACAUACACUUUGAGAUAUGACAAUGGUGAUUUAAAUUUUAUUUUAUUUUUUAUAUUAUUUCUCAAUGAAGGGUGCUCUAUGAGGACCCUUAGUUUUUGCCCAUCUAGGUCUUAGAUUUCCCAUACUGUUUGUAAGUAUGUGACCACUUCACGUAUGUUUUGAUAUUUCAAUUUUCUGUUAUGAAUUUUAACAAACUAGAAAAAAAAACAUUUCUUACUAAAAAUAGUGCUAUGAUCCAGAAAGAAAAUGAAUUUUACACAUAACUUUCAAAACAGAAUUAUGUGGAAAAGGCACAUAGUGACUUGUCCAUCAAUACUAAGGAAAACAGGAUUUUAAAUUCUAAGGAUUUAAAAUUGAAACAAUAGUCUAGAAUUAACAGAUCAUGUGAUCAAAACACAGCCUCUGCAUGGUGUAGUAUAUUGUUCAGUCUUUAAGUGCAAGGCAAUUCUAGCACAGUGUGCUCUGGGAUGGAGCCCUCAAAAACAGGAAAUAUGCACACCACACAGCCCAGCCUCCUGGAGCUUCAAGACUCUACCUGAAACCCUGUCCCUCCUCCUUCAGUCUUUACUUUAAGUAGCUUCUAGUAAAAUCUGUUGCUUGGAGAAACAUUACUGCUUAUUGGGCAGUUGAACAAACUUUACUAAGAAGUCUAAUAAGUCAAUCAAACAUAAGUCACUCUAGAUUGCUAAAGCAAGGAAACAGAGGGUACAUAAAAAUCUUUCUAAAAUGUAAAUUGGGCCUCAGUUUUUGGUCUGAUGUCAUCUGGGCUUACUGUUUCUAUACAAUUAGGUGAUUUCUGGCUUCAGCUUGGUUGUCUCACUAUUGGUUGAUUUCAGCACCUGUGGAAUGUAGAAAAACCAUGAACUUGCUGGGUAAAGUAAGAUAACUUAAUGAGAGAAAAGUAAGUUUUAUGUGUCUUGACUUAUAGAGGGUGGCAGUACAGUUAGACAUAGACACACAAAAUGCAAUGCCAUUUUUAGAUUCAAGAAAAAGUCAACAAUUUUUGUUUUUGCUUGAUGGACAGGCUUUCAAUUCAGUAGGGAAACAAGGGUCAUAAAUCUGUGUAUUUAUGGGAUAUAUGAUGUGUACACACUCACUAGCAGUUAUUUAGUAGCUAGAAUUUUCAAACAACAUCUUCAUAUGGUUUGGGUACUUCCUAAUAGUAAAGACAUAUUAUUUUCAUAAAGAUAUCACAGCAUUGUCUCUAGUGCCCCUGAGGUUCAGUGGAUAAAGUAUUCACUACACAAUAAAAACCUAAGUCCAUAUACCCAGCAUCCACAUAUCAAUAGACAACGAUAACCAGGCAUCUUUCACCCCCAGAGUUCUUAUGGGCAUAUGGGUAGUGAAUUCCCAGAAACUCUGUGUUACUUAGCCUGGCCCACAUAGUAAAGAAUAUCAAGAGACCCAACAGAAACAAAUCAGAAGUCAGGACCAGUGUAAUAGGUUGAAAUCUGGCCUCUACAUGCAUGCCAUAAUGCAUAGGUGCCUGUAUUCACAUACAUGAACACACAUGCACACACAUGCCCACAAAUUUAAAUUAUUCCCCAAUAUCAAAUAAUGAUGAGAAUAUAAAUACUCCAGAAUUUAAUUAUCAAUAAUAAAACAUUUUGACAAAUGUGUACCACACACAGAUUUGAAGACCACUCUUUGCUCAUAUGAGUCUUGUUCUCAGACUCUCCUGGGAAAGCAAAGCUCUCACUGGAGAUCCUGCCAGUGCCAUGCUCACUUCUGGCACUGAGCUGCAAAGGCAGCUCCAGUGUUGUGUCUCCUGGAUGAGUUUCCUGUGACUGCAAAGGUCUGAAUGUAAAUAGAAGAUCAAACAUGUGAUUCUUUGGUAUUAGCUGAUGCCAUAAAGACAUGAGCUUGAAAUAUGCUUUAACAUUAGAAGUAAAUUAUCAAAUUUUGACAUGUGUGCUUUCACAUAGAUGACAGUACAUAUGUCACUGAAUGUUUUAAGGGACGACUUCAAAGAAAUGUGUCAAUGGUAAACACACAUUCCAGACCUGGAAAAGUCAUUGUUU
RNAcentral lists this long non-coding RNA (3276 nucleotides) under Mus musculus (house mouse). RNAcentral describes it as "novel transcript". The record is from RNAcentral. Lineage: Eukaryota; Metazoa; Chordata; Mammalia; Rodentia; Muridae.